UUCCGGUUGAUCCUGCCGGAGGCUACCGCUAUUGGAGUUCGAUUAAGCCAUGCGAGUCGAGAGUCUUAGGGACUCGGCGUACCGCUCAGUAACACGUGGGUAACCUGCCCUAUGCUGGGGAAUAACCUCGGGAAACUGAGAAUAAUACCCCAUAGUUCACCACGCCUGGAACGGUGGGUGGAUGAAAGCUCCGGCGGCAUAGGAUGGGCCUGCGACGUAUCAGGUUGUAGGGGGUGUAACGUACCCUCUAGCCAUCAACGCGUACGGGUGUUGGGAGACAUAGCCCGGAGAUGGAUUCUGAGACACGAAUCCAGACCCUACGGGGUGCAGCAGGCGCGAAAACUUGGCAAUGCGAGCAAUCGUGACCAGGGAACUCCAAGUGGCUGGGGUAAUACCCAGUUUUUUCUUGACUCUUCAAAGGUCUUGGAAUAAGGGGUGGGUAAGGACGGUGCCAGCCGCCGCGGUAAUACCGGCGCCUCAAGUGGUAGUCGCUUUUAUUGGGCCUAAAACGUCCGUAGCCGGUCUGGUGCAUUCGUGGGUAAAUCAACCCGCUCAACGGGUUGAAUUCUGCGAGCACGGCCAGACUUGGGACCGGGAGAGGUGUGGGGUACUCUCAGGGUAGGGGUAAAAUCCUGUCAUCCUGAGAGGACCACCUGUUGCGAAGGCGCCACACUAGAACGGAUUCGACGGUCAGGG
RNAcentral lists this ribosomal RNA (696 nucleotides) under uncultured Candidatus Poseidoniales archaeon. RNAcentral's name for it is "bacterial SSU rRNA". It matches the Rfam family "Archaeal small subunit ribosomal RNA", at positions 1 to 703 of the family's 1478-position model. Lineage: Archaea; Methanobacteriati; Thermoplasmatota; Candidatus Poseidoniia; Candidatus Poseidoniales. The record is from RNAcentral.